Molecule: ribosomal RNA, 261 nt
Filed under: uncultured Eubacteriales bacterium
Lineage: Bacteria; Bacillati; Bacillota; Clostridia; Eubacteriales
Description: uncultured Clostridiales bacterium partial 16S ribosomal RNA
Rfam family: Bacterial small subunit ribosomal RNA
Source: RNAcentral
AAACCUGAUAUGACUUAGUGGCGGACGGGUGAGUAACGCGUGGGUAACCUGCCUCAUACAGGGGGAUAACAGUUAGAAAUGACUGCUAAUACCGCAUAAGCGCACAGCAUCGCAUGAUGCCGUGUGAAAAACUCCGGUGGUAUGAGAUGGACCCGCGUCUGAUUAGCUGGUUGGUGAGGUAACGGCCCACCAAGGCGACGAUCAGUAGCCGGCCUGAGAGGGUGAACGGCCACAUUGGGACUGAGACACGGCCCAGACUCC